RNAcentral lists this ribosomal RNA (448 nucleotides) under uncultured bacterium. RNAcentral's name for it is "bacterial SSU rRNA". It matches the Rfam family "Bacterial small subunit ribosomal RNA", at positions 329 to 794 of the family's 1533-position model. The record is from RNAcentral.
UACCAGACUCCUACGGGAGGCAGCAGUGGGGAAUAUUGGACAAUGGGGGAAACCCUGAUCCAGCGACGCCGCGUGAGUGAAGAAGUAUUUCGGUACGUAAAGCUCUAUCAGCAGGAAAGAAAAUGACGGUACCUGACUAAGAAGCCCCGGCUAACUACGUGCCAGCAGCCGCGGUAAUACGUAGGGGGCAAGCGUUAUCCGGAUUUACUGGGUGUAAAGGGAGCGUAGACGGCAGUGCAAGUCUGAAGUGAAAGCCCCGGGCUUAACCCGGGAAUUGCUUUGGAAACUGUACGGCUGGAGUGCUGGAGAGGUAAGCGGAAUUCCUAGUGUAGCGGUGAAAUGCGUAGAUAUUAGGAGGAACACCAGUGGCGAAGGCGGCUUACUGGACUGUAACUGACACUGAGGCACGAAAGCGUGGGGAGCAAACAGGAUUAGAUACCCCUGUACU